UCCAUGUGUCAAUAACGGCUUACUGUUAUGUCAUUCCAUCUGAUAAUAUUCUUGUUAUAACAGGCAUAUCUGAAAUGGAUGAGCAUGAAAACGAUAAAAACAUGAUGAAAAACUGUACACCCACACGGAAGGUAAAGACGAUAUUUAAAAUGGAAAUCCUUCUAAGUCUACCAUUUUAUAACUCAAUUAUGAUGAAGAGAGGACCAUUAUCAAAAAAUAAGGAGACAGCAUGGAUUGAAUCCAAGAUCACAUAGAAUAUCAUUCAGAACAAUUUGAAAAGAAUCGUGGUUUCUUCAUUUUGGAUAUGAACCGUACUAACAAAGGUGAUUCGAAAACGUAUCCAAGAAAGAUGUGAGUUGUCAACUCGGAGUCGAGGACCUAUGAAGAAUAUAUAUCCAGUUUUUAACAGAAAAAUUGCUUCUUUUUCUAAAGGGUUGGUUGGUGCAAGCCGCAAUUUAAUAUGUUUAAUAAUCAUAGACAUGUCAACGAAAAAAGAUGUUGGAAAACUUAUUCUUUUAAGAGGUUCCUUGUGACAUAAGAGAGAAAACUUCUACAAACUGUAAUUGACCAAAGGACAUAUUAAGAAGUCUCCUUAAACAACAUCACGCCACAGGAUACCACAUCAAAUCACAUUACAAUCACAUUCACAUGAGAUUUAGAUCAUAAGCAUCUUUAUAUUUUAGUCUACGUUUAGAGAUACGAAAUUAUGAUUUCAUAAUUGUCUUAUGAAGGUUUAUACCUGCUGCACUGAAAACAUUGGUGCUGAUAAGUUUGACAAUUAUGUUGUCUUUAAAUAGAUAAUAUGUUCAUGUAAAAGUUUAUAUUGUUCAAUAGUUUAAAUUUGUAACAUUAUUGUGGUUUACAAGAGAUGUUCAUAGAUUUGUUAUAGUUAAAAAUCAAUUUGUUGAUAACUGAAAUGUUUUCUCUUAUGGGAACGAGUGAUUAUCUAAGGGAGGAAUGUAUUUUCCGAAUUUUUCUCUGAUUCACCUCAACAAUUGUUUCCUUCAGUCAUCCAGUUGAUUUGGAUUAGAUAAUAGAACUGAGUUGGAGCUUUAAUAUCUUCAUGAUUGUCUUCCUAGUUGUUAAUAACUGUUCCCCUAUUUACAGGGUCGAUUAUUUUGAAACAAUUUGGAGAAUCUUGAGUAUUCUCACGUUGCUCAUUGUUAUAUACACAUCACCACUUUCGUGACAAAUAUUUUUUAUCGUUAUCUAUAAAACAAUACUCGUCCAAAUAAGAGAAGGGUGUUCCAGAAUGAAGAUAUACUUCAUUUUUCAGUCUAUAUUUCCAGAAGUACUAUGGAAGCUAUGUUCAGAAUAUUCUUAUAUGCUGUUCCUCCUAUGGUGAAUAUCAGUACUAAUCUCUUGACUUUCUCUUUUUGUGUUUCAAGUGAUUGGUCCGUAACCGAUUGAACUUCCACUUAUGUAUAACUCAAGUGGACUGGAUCAAAAAUUAUCAAAAGCGACUCGUUAGUUAAGACUGUUACCAUUUUUAAUCCGAUAUCUUCGUGGGAGGAUUUCCACUCUAUAUCGUCUAUAUAAAUAAUCACAAGUUCACUUAAAGUUUUGGUGAUUCGAGAAUCAAAUGCAACUGUUAAAUACUGGUAUUGAUAAUAAGGUGCAACUAAAGACUAUUAAAUAUGGGUGGACCAGCGUUUGUCGUCUUUUGGUGUGAAGAUUUAGGUCAGUCGUCGUUAUUACCACAAAAAUUUAUCUGAAUUCUAUUCAUAUAAUCCCCGAAUAGGUGAUUUUCGAUAACCAAGAAGAUGCUUGAUCCUUCAAAUCUAUCAGGAAACCACCUCCUGUGGGCAUUAUCCGUAAUGCAUAUAUCAGUCGUCAAAAUCCAAGCUUGUGUAAUUGCACUUUCCCCAACCAGAUUAAAUUUUGUCGUAGUAAUCUAAGUUGGGCGUGGCUUCAGAGCUUGUAGUAGAGCCAUGCAGUUUCUGUUUUGCUGUUUAAUGCAGCUUUCCUCCUUUCCUACAUAUGUUCAGAAGCUGCAAAACCUAGAAUUCCAAAAAUACUAUUAUAUAAGGUGCUUGAAUAAGUUCUCGCUGUUUUUUUUUUGUGAAAAUCAAUUUAUUUACGCAAUGUGGUGCACAACACGUCACUCAAAGUACAGCCCAUCACAAGACACUACUUUUUCCCAUCUUUCUGGCAGCAAAUGAAUGCCUCGUCGAAUUCAUUCCUAAUGCUUUCAAACGUUUGGAAACUAUUGAGUCAUCCACUCCUAAUGAUUUUCCAAGUUUUAGCUUAAGUAAUGCCAAAUAUUUUGCCCAAAUUUAUCUUUCUUGUGAAAUCUGCUAAAUCACUUCUCACAUUAGUGGAUUUUUUAAUAGCAGUCAUUAAUGGUGUAUUUCCAUUUUUAUCUUCAUCAAUUCCACUUAUUUUACCUUUAUCCAGAGAUGAUUUAAGUACAUAUGUAGUGCCAAAUAUUUUGCCCUCGUUUAUUUUUCUUAAAAAUACACACUGUGUUCGAUUAAAUCAUAGCUAUCUUCAACUGUCUUCUAUCCUUAUUCCGUAUAUAUAUAGGGAGGAGAAAUUGUUGUUAAAGCUAUAUUUCCGCUCUUAAGAAGUCUAUUUAAACUUAAAUGAUGUCAAAUAUUUCGUCCUAAUUUAUUUUUUUUUGUGAAUACUUUUAUCACUUUUAACAAAUCCACCAGUGUCAAUAAUACUUCGAGAAUAUCAGGUUGUAUUUGUUAAAUAGUUUGCACAUAAAAAUUCAGCAUAUGUUUUAUGUACAAAUCGAGGGUUAUUGUAAUUAUCAAACCCAGUUAUUUCGAAAUUUAAAUGCUUUCUUAAAGAAAUAAAAUGUUAAUUUCAUUGUUAUUUAUGAGAAAGUCGUUUAUGUGAGGAAACAGAUCAACGACGUGUACUAUCUUCAAAGGUACCCUCAGGAGGGAUUUUUUAAAUGUCUUAAUUUUCAUAAGACAAUUAGCAAAACAUAAUGGAGUAAAAUACAAACCAUUACAAUUUCCACAAGCGAUGGUACCUUGUGUUCUUCUUGAGUUUUCGUAUAAUAAACGAAUACUUUAUUAAAUUAUAUAUUAGCCGUUCUGGUCCAACACCUUUUGCCAUCUUUCUGGUAAAAAUAAAAUUUUUGGUCUUUGCUGAUCGAGGUGGUUUUUGACCUCAUUUGAGGUGAACGUUUUACCGUCUCAAAAAAUCUUUGAGUGACCGGAACAUUAUUAGUUCUGGCCUUUUCUGUUGAAAUCUAUCAUUUGGUCCAGCUGAUGACAGUAGACGUCCGAAUUAAUCGUUGUUUUAUCCGGUAAAAACUCAAAAAAACGAUUCCUUUAAAAUCCCACCAAACAGUUACUUCAUCAUCUGUUUUACUGUUUCUACAUAAUAAUAGAUAUAGUUUUCCUAUGGCCACUUUUGUCUUCUUCCAGAGUUCCUCGGUGUUCCUCUUCCUGGUCAGCUUAGAGUCCAGUUGGAUUCCUAAAUAUUUGGCCUCGUUGGCCCAUUCUACCUUAUUUCCUUCGAUGAUUACGCUGUCUGGGGUUGGUGAUCUUCUUUUUUGGGUUUAUUUGGAUUUUCCAUUUGCGACACCAUUUGAGUGUGUCUUCCAUGGCUGUCUAUAGGAGUCUUUGGAUAAUUCCUGUGUUCCUGUGGCUUGUUAGAAGUGCAGUGUCGUCGGUGUAUUGAGCUAUAAUUUUGUUAGGUUGUCGCCGUAUCCGUAUGUUUUCAUCUUGUGGAUGAGGCUCAACUAAUGGUUUCCCCGAGGCGAAGCUUCCACUUCAAUUGGAUGUCCAUUAGUGGUUUCUCCGACUGUUUCAUUUCUUGGUUUCCUAACGCCAUAACUGCAUACAAUUCAACUGUCGGGGUAAGAAUGACCUACUUCUUCGACGCCAUUUUGUCCUGGGUGGUAGGUACUCAACUAAUGGUUUCCCCGAGGCGAAGCUCUCACUCCAGUUGAAUGUCCAUUAGUGGUUUCACCGAUUGUUUCGUCUCCUGGUCUGUCAAGGUCACUUCUUGGAGUCUCAUUUCUAUGAGAGUUUGUCCAUCGUUCAAUAUGGGUUGACCGCCAUUUGCUCUUCUGUGGUUUGUUCUGCUUUUACUGUAUACGUUAAAAUGUUUUAAUAUAUAUUCCUUAGAUUCCAGCAAAUGAAUUUCUUGGAGGCACAUUAUGUUUGGUUGGUGUUCUUUUACCAAUGGUACUAAUGGGAUUUUCAAGUUUGGUACGUACGUUUUGUAUGAGUCUUCGCUAGUUCAUAUUUAAUUGUUUCUGCUGUUUAAAAAAUAGUGUCAUGGCAGAUGAACUUCUUUUAAAAAAUGCUAUAAUCCCUUUAAUUUUUUUCAGCGUAUUUUAAAGAAUUCUGAGCAAUAAGGUUCAAGGUAUGUGCAUAACAUCCAAAAUGCUGUAACUGAAGUUCUUCUUUUAUUGCUCUAUUAAUAUUAGGAGUGUUUUUCCUGAAAUAAUCAUUAAAAUUAUAAUUUUUAAAUUCCAAUCUUCAAUAAUAUUUUUAAUAAACUUGGCAAGAUUGACACUAGUAUGUCUUUCACCAAAAACUUCGCAUCCUAGUACUGCAUGUUUAAUUUCUAAGUUACAUUAUUAUUUAGAAAAUGUGCAAAAACUCCCAUAAGAUUGUCUGUUGCAGAUGAUGUCCAACAAUCAGUUGUAAGAGUAACUAUAUUUACGUUGUUCAUUGCUUCUUUAGUUUUAUUAUAUAUUUUUUCAUAUUUAGCCGGAAGUACGGUACUUGUAAUUUGUUUUUCUAUUAGGUAAUCGGUAUGAUGGAUUAAGUGUCUGUACAAACAAUUGAAAUCCAUGAUCUUCUACCACCGAAAAUGGCUGGUUAAAAAGUAGCAUGAGCUUAUCAUCAAUUUUAUUUUGUGUAGUUCCUCCAACUUUUUUGUUUUGGCCAUUACAAUAUUUGAUUCACUCUCCCAUUUGGUCAUCCCCGAAGUAGAUGAUAGAUAAAUCCUAUCUAAUACAACCCUACAAGAAGAAACUAGAAGCUAUUUUAAAUAUAAAAGAAAUAUUUUUAAUAUAUGCCAUCUUCAAUUAGGGCCCCGAUUUGGGCUACUUAAUGCCGUUGUUGCCGUUGUCAAAUGUACUGUACACAAAGUAUUUUAAAAUAAAAAUAAAAUUGUUCAUAGUA
Long non-coding RNA from Aethina tumida (small hive beetle), 5099 nucleotides. RefSeq lists it as uncharacterized. The record is from RefSeq and is a predicted model, not a curated record. The transcript is spliced from 6 exons. Lineage: Eukaryota; Metazoa; Arthropoda; Insecta; Coleoptera; Nitidulidae.